This is a long non-coding RNA of Limulus polyphemus (Atlantic horseshoe crab), 379 nucleotides long. RefSeq lists it as uncharacterized. The transcript is spliced from 3 exons. The record is from RefSeq and is a predicted model, not a curated record. NCBI's taxonomy places the organism in Eukaryota, Metazoa, Arthropoda, Merostomata, Xiphosura, Limulidae.
AUCUUAACAUUCUAGUAACUGUUUAUAAUAGUAAGGUUAAUACAGGCUGUCUUUAUCCUACCAUUCUAGCUACUGUUUAUAACAGUAAGGUUAAUACAGGCUGUCUUUAUCCUUCUAUUCUAGUAACUGUUUGAAGUUGUUUAAAUUAAUAAAGACUGUUUGUUUUUCCAAGAUUUUGAUUUUGUCCUGUCACAGGUGACCAUGGCUGACCGAGAGUCAGCUGAACGUGCUGUAAGAGAUGCCAACCCAAUCAUUGAUGGAAGGAAGGCCAAUGUGAAUCUCGCGUACCUAGGGGCCAAACCGCGAGGUAGCGCAACGAAUGACUUCUCUGUGCCCAUCAGGCCUAGUUACCCCACACUGCUCCAAGGUCAGCUUAGGU